Molecule: ribosomal RNA, 466 nt
Filed under: uncultured bacterium
Lineage: Bacteria
Description: partial 16S ribosomal RNA
Rfam family: Bacterial small subunit ribosomal RNA
Source: RNAcentral
GACGAACGCUGGCGGCGCGCCUAACACAUGCAAGUCGAACGAGCGAGAGAGAGCUUGCUUUCUCGAGCGAGUGGCGAACGGGUGAGUAACGCGUGAGGAACCUGCCUCAAAGAGGGGGACAACAGUUGGAAACGACUGCUAAUACCGCAUAAGCCCACGGCUCGGCAUCGAGCGGGGGGAAAAGGAGCAAUCCGCUUUGAGAUGGCCUCGCGUCCGAUUAGCUAGUUGGUGGGGUAACGGCCCACCAAGGCGACGAUCGGUAGCCGGACUGAGAGGUUGAACGGCCACAUUGGGACUGAGACACGGCCCAGACUCCUACGGGAAGCAGCAGUGGGGAAUAUUGCACAAUGGGGGAAACCCUGAUGCAGCGACGCCGCGUGGAGGAAGAAGGUCUUCGGAUUGUAAACUCCUGUUGUUGGGGAAGAUAAUGACGGUACCCAACAAGGAAGUGACGGCUAACUACGUG